UGAAAUGAUCAGGCCAGGGCUCUGGUCUUUAUCUUAGGAAACCUGAAGACAGCAACGAGACAGAGCAGAGGCAAGGACCAAGUGCUGUAAGAUCAGUAAGUUCUCAAAUCAACAUACAGAACAACUCCAAGUGCAGGAUGGCAUGUGUCCUGUGACCGCUGGUGUUCAGGCCGAUGGAGAAACCAGAAGCAGCCAAAAGCUCGCUGUGAAAGGAAAGCUACUGGCAUGGACUAAUCUGUUUUGAGGGCGGCAACGGCCCUUGAUCAACUGCCUCAUAUUUCAAGCCUGUUACUCCAGGCAGACAACGGCUACUGUUUUGGGGACUCAGUGGAGAACGAAGACAGUCCUUGCUUCCAGGAGUAGGAGCUAGUGGGGGACCCGUGGCCUGUGUCCAGGCCAACUGCUGGAUUAUCUGCCAAAUCUGGACUUGCAAACAGCUGUCCCCAGGUCCCAGCCUGGAAGCCUGCAGGGCCAUUCCCAGGGUGUCAUCCAAGUUCACCUCAGUCAUGGGUAGCUGGUGUCAUGCCCUCUUGGAUGCCCCGGAGCACACAACAGGAUGUGACUCAGGCCUCAAGAGAUGUGAGUCAGUUUCCAGGGCGAUGUGUCAGGGCGAGCCCCAGGGGUGGCUGGCAGCUCCCGCCUGGGACCCCUGGGAGGGAUGGUCUGGGCUCCCUGCAAACACAAGAGCAACCCCCCCCCCCCCCCCGCCUGCCAUGCCUCACUGCCACCUUCACACUCAUGUAACAACAAACAGCCUUCGCGGCCCAGGCGUUAGGUCAUUCCCUGCUCUGAGAGAGGCACGUCCCUGAAAGUCCCCCUUGCUUCCGCAGCACCCUUUCCCCUCUGUCCUCUGCAGUAAAAGUGCAACGGGGCACAGAAGCAGGGCGGGCCGGCCCCUGGGGGUGCACCCGGGGGGUGGGCAGGCCCUGGGGACCACACUGCGCCCGUCAGCGGCGGCAUCCCCGGAUAACAGGAGCCGGUUCCCACCGGCCCUGAGUCCUGGAGAAAGAGGCUGGGAAAGGCUCUGGCCUGCGCCAGCCGUUUGUCUCCAAGGCCUGCAGAUAGGCCGGUUAGUCAUG
Long non-coding RNA from Artibeus jamaicensis (Jamaican fruit-eating bat), 1079 nucleotides. RefSeq lists it as uncharacterized. The transcript is spliced from 3 exons. NCBI's taxonomy places the organism in Eukaryota, Metazoa, Chordata, Mammalia, Chiroptera, Phyllostomidae. The record is from RefSeq and is a predicted model, not a curated record.